AUUGAACGCUGGCGGCAUGAUUUACACAUGCAAGUCGAACGGUAACAGGCCGCCAGGUGCUGACGAGUGGCGAACGGGUGCGUAAUGCAUCGGAACGUGCCCAGUCGUGGGGGAUAACUACUCGAAAGAGUAGCUAAUACCGCAUACGAUCUAUGGAUGAAAGCGGGGGACCGUAAGGCCUCGCGCGAUUGGAGCGGCCGAUGUCAGAUUAGGUAGUUGGUGGGGUAAAGGCUCACCAAGCCAACGAUCUGUAGCUGGUCUGAGAGGACGACCAGCCACACUGGGACUGAGACACGGCCCAGACUCCUACGGGAGGCAGCAGUGGGGAAUUUUGGACAAAGGGCGCAAGCCUGAUCCAGCAAUGCCGCGUGCAGGAAGAAGGCCUUCGGGUUGUAAACUGCUUUUGUACGGAACGAAACGGCUCUGGUUAAUACCCGGGGCUAAUGACGGUACCGUAAGAAUAAGCACCGGCUAACUACGUG
Molecule: ribosomal RNA, 482 nt
Filed under: uncultured bacterium
Lineage: Bacteria
Description: partial 16S ribosomal RNA
Rfam family: Bacterial small subunit ribosomal RNA
Source: RNAcentral